RNAcentral lists this ribosomal RNA (253 nucleotides) under uncultured bacterium. Its description in RNAcentral is "partial 16S ribosomal RNA". It matches the Rfam family "Bacterial small subunit ribosomal RNA", at positions 524 to 776 of the family's 1533-position model. The record is from RNAcentral.
GACAGAGGAUGCAAGCGUUAUCCGGAAUGAUUGGGCGUAAAGCGUCUGUAGGUGGCUUCUCAAGUCCGCCGUCAAAUCCCAGGGCUCAACCCUGGACAGGCGGUGGAAACUACCAAGCUGGAGUACGGUAGGGGCAGAGGGAAUUUCCGGUGGAGCGGUGAAAUGCAUUGAGAUCGGAAAGAACACCAGCGGCGAAAGCGCUCUGCUGGGCCGACACUGACACUGAGAGACGAAAGCUAGGGGAGCAAAUGGG